This 253-nucleotide ribosomal RNA is filed under the name uncultured bacterium. Its description in RNAcentral is "partial 16S ribosomal RNA". It matches the Rfam family "Bacterial small subunit ribosomal RNA", at positions 524 to 776 of the family's 1533-position model. The record is from RNAcentral.
UACGGAGGGUGCAAGCGGUGUUCGGAAUCACUGGGAGUAAAGGGCGCGUAGGCGGUUUGAUAAGUCAGAUGUGAAAGCCCACGGCUUAACUGUGGAAGUGCAUUUGAAACUGUCAGACUUGAGUAUCAGAGGGGAAAGUGGAAUUCCCGGUGUAGAGGUGAAAUUCGUAGAUAUCGGGAGGAAUACCGGUGGCGAAGGCGACUUUCUGGCUGAAUACUGACGCUGAGGCGCGAAAGCGUGGGGAGCAAACAGG